GCUCUCUGGGUGGCGAGUGGCGGACGGGUGAGGAAUACAUCGGAAUCUACUUUUUCGUGGGGGAUAACGUAGGGAAACUUACGCUAAUACCGCAUACAACCUACGGGUGAAAGCAGGGGAUCUUCGGACCUUGCGCGAUUGAAUGAGCCGAUGUCGGAUUAGCUAGUUGGCGGGGUAAAGGCCCACCAAGGCGACGAUCCGUAGCUGGUCUGAGAGGAUGAUCACCCACACUGGAACUGAGACACGGUCCAAACUCCUACGGGAGGCAGCAGUGGGGAAUAUUGGACAAUGGGCGCAAGCCUGAUCCACCCAUACCGCGUGGGUGAAGAAGGCCUUCGGGUUGUAAAGCCCUUUUGUUGGGAAAGAAAUCCAGCUGGCUAAUACCCGGUUGGGAUGACGGUACCCAAAGAAUAAGCACCGGCUAACUUCGUGCCAGCAGCCGCGGUAAUACGAAGGGUGCAAGCGUUACUCGGAAUUACUGGGCGUAAAGCGUGCGUAGGUGGUCGUUUAAGUCCGUUGUGAAAGCCCUGGGCUCAACCUGGGAACUGC
RNAcentral lists this ribosomal RNA (549 nucleotides) under Stenotrophomonas maltophilia. RNAcentral's name for it is "bacterial SSU rRNA". It matches the Rfam family "Bacterial small subunit ribosomal RNA", at positions 78 to 624 of the family's 1533-position model. Lineage: Bacteria; Pseudomonadati; Pseudomonadota; Gammaproteobacteria; Lysobacterales; Lysobacteraceae. The record is from RNAcentral.